CCUCGGGCGAAACGGUAAAUCAUGACUAAUGGGUAAAGAUGUACAACCUCUGCAGAGUGUAAAACUGGUAUACUAGCCAUGCUCACGGUCAUGAGCGGCCUUGGGGAUUCUUGCAUCGACGAUGAUGAUUCUUGUGUGUUAAAUAUGCCCAUUAUUUAUUAUUUAAUGCUUUACAUUAUUUAUGUCACAUUGAUCAUGAGAUUGUGGGAUCUAUACAAUCUAGUUGCUAUACUUGUGGAGUUCGAUAUGGACUCACUCUUGCAAUUUCCCCCACACCUCAGGAGAAGUUUUGGGCUUGUGAUCAACCAGUCAGUUGGAUCCUGUGGAGAGAAGUUAAUACCCGAGGUUUAGAGUUGUCUAUCCGCUGUUUGAUGCUAAAGGUUAUCUCUUUUAUAUUAUGUACGUUAUAUAUUUAUGUAUUGUCUUUUGAUAUUACCCCUUAUUUGUAGCUAUAUGUGAGAUUUGACUUCUAAAACUCACAUAUGGUGCAUAUCUGGUUUUGUCCUUAAAAUCGGGUAUUACAGAGAUUCAUAGGAUCAUUGGGAGGUUCAAGAGAAAGAGCAUAGUAGAAAUUAUUAGGCUCAAGGAUGGGUUUAAAGAUAGGUUCGAACGAGUCAUCAAAAGUGGGCGUAGAAGGGGAGAAGAUGAGAUUGUGUUCUAAAUGGCUUUGCUCUCCUUCUAUUGCAUCACUUAAGACGCCAUCCUUGAGUCUUCCUAGAUGUCCAUCAGAGGGAUUGGAUUUGAGAUGCUUUCUAAGAGAUCCCUUCUUAGGAAGGUUCAGACUAUAUGCACUCAAAGGUCUCUUAUGAAGAAGGAAGUUUAAGCUCAUCCCAAAAUGAAUUUUCAAAGGAAGAAUUUCUUCUUCCCUUAGAUGAUUUUGGAGCACUACUAGUUUGGGUUGGACAGCCAAAUCAUGGGAUUGAAAUGUUUGGAAAUCGACUAUUGAAACUUCCUUUCCUCGUAUGGGAGAUGAUUCCUUCUCUAUCUCUAGGAUUUUUUAUGAAGACUAGUGCAAGAAGGAUGUCCACAAAUGAAGACAUACCUUGCUUUACUAACAGAUAAAGAAAUAAAAACUCUACCAAAGGGGAUUAAGACCAAUGUGAAAAUAUCGAGGGAAAACAUGGUCUUGUAGGGCUAGGUCUAAACCAGAAUUUAUAGAAAGAUUAAAAGAUUCCCUAGGUGUAGCUAAAAGUUCAUUAUCUUAUUGAUUAAAAGAUAGGACCUCGGCUAUAGAAAAGGGUUGGUUUUGACCUAUUGCAAUCAACUCCGGACACAGAUCAUAAUUAGGGGCAAAGAAAGGACUUGUUGACUCCCAUGGUCUAUGGCUGGUCUCCGAAGGUGCAAAAAAUUCAAUAGUAGGUGUGGAAUUUGAGUUAUCCAUAAAGAUGAAAAAAAAUAAAAAGAUAAAAGAAUAAAAGUAUAAAAGUAUAAUACAAGAUAAUAGCAAGACUCAAAGUUAUCUCAGCAGACAGUCUUUCUCCCCACCAACAGCGUCAGAAAUGCUUGUUGAUAUUUGUUAACGCCAUUAGGAAAUGAUCCGCAAGCGCAUGGAUAUCGGUGAGUACUUCACCCGAGAGGUUAGCCAGAGUAUCGUAUUUAUAUUUUUACCACUGGGAGAAAGCGUGCAUCUGACUAACCAAAUCUAUUGCUACUACCCUUUAGGCUACAAACAAUGUGAUUCGAUGUGAGCGAUGUAUAGAGAAGACUACAACCGCACUCUCGUUCUAACCUUGGUAAGGAUGAUUUACUGUUCUGUUGGGGAGGCUAACGGAAUCUAGACACCACAGAGGAUGUUUGAACCGCACCUAUAAACCCUAUCAAUCCUGCUAACGGGAUAUGGGCUACAAAGGUAACUCAGAAAUGUCACGUUCCUCACUACUACCACGGUCCGGCUAGACAAGGGAUAUCUAUGAGUAUCCUAGCCAAAACACCACAUUUACGCUAGAGAUGAUUACUCUAAACUCUACGCGAAGAGAUCAAAGUAAACUCAUAAACCAAAGAACAAUAAAACAAAAAACUUACUAGAAUUUAGAAGUCGAAAUACUGAAGAAUCCUAGGAGCAAGCCUCGGGUUAGGAGACUUGAUCCCGCAGGUACAACCUCGGAGUAGACACCGACAGGCCGGGCUUCCUCCGAUCUACACCUCCACUCUAUCUCUCUCAAUCUAGUAGAACUAAUUCUACUCUCACAUUGGAUGCUAAGCCCUAUGAGGUUGGAACCCUAAAGGAACCUCUCUCUCUGAAUCCUCUCUGAAAAAUAUGCUAAUGAAUAAUGGGGAUUGCCUCCUCCAGGGGCCCGGGGGCCUGCUUAUAUAGCCCCUCCAAAUGAACGUGGGCCGUCGGAUCAAACUGACCUUAAUCGCAUGGUUUUCCUUGAUCCC
RNAcentral lists this long non-coding RNA (2379 nucleotides) under Sorghum bicolor (sorghum). RNAcentral's name for it is "long non-coding RNA (SBIC_LNC006605)". The record is from RNAcentral. Lineage: Eukaryota; Viridiplantae; Streptophyta; Magnoliopsida; Poales; Poaceae.